UACGAGGGGGGCGAGCGUUGUUCGGAAUUAUUGGGCGUAAAGGGCGCGUAGGCGGUGCGGUAAGUCACCUGUGAAACCUCUGGGCUUAACUCAGAGCCUGCAGGCGAAACUGCCGUGCUGGAGUGUGGGAGAGGUGCGUGGAAUUCCCGGUGUAGCGGUGAAAUGCGUAGAUAUCUGGAGGAAUACCGGUGGCGAAGGCGGCAUCCUGGACCGGCAUUGACGCUGAUGAGCGAAAGCUAGGGGAGCAAACGGG
Molecule: ribosomal RNA, 253 nt
Filed under: uncultured bacterium
Lineage: Bacteria
Description: partial 16S ribosomal RNA
Rfam family: Bacterial small subunit ribosomal RNA
Source: RNAcentral